UCGAGGAUCUUCGGCAAUGGGCGAAAGCCUGACCGAGCGACGCCGCGUGUGCGAUGAAGGCCUUCGGGUUGUAAAGCACUGUCGGAGGGGAGAAAGCCCCGCAAGGGGUUGAUCGACCCUCGGAGGAAGCUCGGGCUAAGUUCGUGCCAGCAGCCGCGGUAAGACGAACCGAGCGAACGUUGUUCGGAAUCACUGGGCUUAAAGGGCGCGUAGGCGGGCCUGAAAGUCAAGGGUGAAAGCCCCCGGCUCAACCGGGGAAGUGCCCCUGAUACUUCAGGCCUCGAGGGAGGUAGGGGCGUGCGGAACUUCCGGUGGAGCGGUGAAAUGCGUAGAUAUCGGAAGGAACACCGGUGGCGAAAGCGGCGCGCUGGACCUCUUCUGACGCUGAGGCGCGAAAGCCAGGGGAGCGAACGG
RNAcentral lists this ribosomal RNA (414 nucleotides) under uncultured bacterium. Its description in RNAcentral is "bacterial SSU rRNA". It matches the Rfam family "Bacterial small subunit ribosomal RNA", at positions 355 to 775 of the family's 1533-position model. The record is from RNAcentral.